GCCCCGGAGGUCCCUCGGGAGGACGGCGGGUCACCCCGGAGGAAGCAAGGAGGAGCCACCUGGGCUGCAUGCACUGAGAGUGGUCCCCAAGGCUGGGAGUGUGCUCAGCCACCAAGCGCGGGUUCCUGGUGAACUGCGGUGACAGGCUGCUUCCCUGAGCUGGGUCCUGUGUCCUCCAUCAGAUCUGCUGCCAUUCAGUUCCAGUUUGUCCCCAAGCACGAGAAGAAGAAUCUGCUGUUAAUAAAGAAGCUUGCCACCCAUCACGUCUCCGGGUCGUUCUUGCUGGCGAGAGCGACAAGUGGUGCCGAAACCCGGGAAUCUUACGUGCCGCGGAGAGGUGAGUGAGGUGAGUAACGAUCUGUGAAAGUGUGCACCUAGAUCUGUCAGUGGACAGGGAAGUUUCCUAGAGACGAGAAUAUUGUGAUUGUGAUAAAGUUCCUAGGAACGAGAAGUUAAAGUUUCCUCAGAAUGGGGAACGAGGUUGCUAGAUGUAGAA
This is a long non-coding RNA of Sciurus carolinensis (gray squirrel), 496 nucleotides long. RefSeq lists it as uncharacterized. The record is from RefSeq and is a predicted model, not a curated record. Lineage: Eukaryota; Metazoa; Chordata; Mammalia; Rodentia; Sciuridae. The transcript is spliced from 3 exons.